UAUUAGCUCAGGUGGUUAGAGCGCACCCCUGAUAAGGGUGAGGUCCCUGGUUCGAGUCCAGGAUGGCCCACCUGAAGAGAGUUAAGAGUUUGAAGUUAAGAGUUAAGAUUUGAAAAAUCAUAACUUUUCUAUGGAAACUCAUAAAAUUUUGUAUGGGGGUUUAGCUCAGUUGGUAGAGCGCCUGCUUUGCAAGCAGGAUGUCAGCGGUUCGAGUCCGCUAACCUCCACCUAGAGAUAAUUCAGGAAUAAAAAUAAGUGAGAAGAAGUCCAGCAACAUGGUGUGAAGCCAGACUGCUGGGUGAGAACUCAGCCAGAACCUUGAAAACUGCAUAGGAAUGGGAAGCAGGCGGGACACAGACACAGCGAAAGUUGUUAGUUGAAAGUGUUGCGAAAAAGAAGUUGUCAAGGUAAAAAAAAUA
RNAcentral lists this transfer RNA (419 nucleotides) under Dolichospermum spiroides RPAN50. Its description in RNAcentral is "partial 16S-23S ribosomal RNA intergenic spacer". The stretch from base 155 to 227 matches the Rfam family "tRNA". The record is from RNAcentral. Lineage: Bacteria; Bacillati; Cyanobacteriota; Cyanophyceae; Nostocales; Aphanizomenonaceae.